GAUGAACGCUGGCGGCGUGCCUAAUACAUGCAAGUCGAGCGAACAGACGAGGAGCUUGCUCCUCUGACGUUAGCGGCGGACGGGUGAGUAACACGUGGAUAACCUACCUAUAAGACUGGGAUAACUUCGGGAAACCGGAGCUAAUACCGGAUAAUAUAUUGAACCGCAUGGUUCAAUAGUGAAAGACGGUUUUGCUGUCACUUAUAGAUGGAUCCGCGCCGCAUUAGCUAGUUGGUAAGGUAACGGCUUACCAAGGCAACGAUGCGUAGCCGACCUGAGAGGGUGAUCGGCCACACUGGAACUGAGACCCGGUCCAGACUCCUACGGGAGGCAGCAGUAGGGAAUCGUCCGCAAUGGGCGAAAGCCUGACGGAGCAACGCCGCGUGAGUGAUGAAGGUCUUCGGAUCGUAAAACUCUGUUAUUAGGGAAGAACAAAUGUGUAAGUAACUAUGCACGUCUUGACGGUACCUAAUCAGAAAGCCACGGCUAACUACGUG
Molecule: ribosomal RNA, 497 nt
Filed under: uncultured bacterium
Lineage: Bacteria
Description: partial 16S ribosomal RNA
Rfam family: Bacterial small subunit ribosomal RNA
Source: RNAcentral